RNAcentral lists this long non-coding RNA (11722 nucleotides) under Malus domestica (apple). RNAcentral describes it as "long non-coding RNA (MDOM_LNC007979)". Lineage: Eukaryota; Viridiplantae; Streptophyta; Magnoliopsida; Rosales; Rosaceae. The record is from RNAcentral.
UAUAAUAGGCGCUUUUGUCAAUCCAUCGUAGCACAAUUUUUGUGAGAGCAAUAUUUAAUUAAACUUCAAAUUCCAUAAGAAAUUCCUAAUUCAACUCAAUAUCUCAAGGCAACAAUUCUCAGAAAUACACAUAUAUGUGUGGUAAUUCAUAUUGCAAUUGUCAUAACAUAUCAAAAUUUACAUCAAUUUGCCACGACCGAGCAGACAUCAAGUGCCUGCAUCUUACGAUCUCAAACGAUUGCCUGUGCUAAUAACUCAAGAAGCCCUUCAUGGGGUGUUCCAUCAGCGACCGCUUACACAAAAACAUGCAAUCUUAAUUAGCUCUUGUUUUUGUUUUUGUGAAUGAACAAAUGAAUUAGUUGUUGGGACCCCAGCAGCUGAGGUACAUGACUAUCCUCAAAGACUCCUCUGAUUUCUUCAUCUUCUCAUCUCUCACUUUACUCAGAGCUGAGGAAGAAGGAGAAGAGAGCUUGCUGUUGGCCUGAGAAAAUGACCUCACUUGGCUCUUGGCUUGUUGGCCAGCAUAUCUCAAAGCAGAGUUCCAUCUGCAAAUCCCUUGGUCCUUGAGUGCCUCCACAAUUCCAACACUUGCUGCCACUAUAGCCUUGCUUGCACUUGAUGAACUCAUGAUUUCUUUUAUCUCCUUUGAUAUUCUGAAUUCUUUUGCUAGUGAUUGUGAAUGUUAAAUGUUUGAUGGAGAGACGAAUGGAGUGCUCUUUAUAUAGGAACUAGAAAUGGUGGGCCAUUUCCACCAAAUACUAGAGGCGGUUUAGAGAGUGUAAGGCCAAUGGUAUGUUUAUUUUUGGGGUUUCCGUCACAGAGGCAGAUUCUCUGCCCUUCAAUUUUUCGUGUCCUCCCGUGCUUUCCUGUUUUGUGUAGUUACAGUUAAAACAUGUCAACAUUUUAUAUUAUUUUUUUAUAGAGAUAAUAUGUCAAAAAUGAAUAGUAAUAUAAUAUGUUAACGUGAUUUAACUGUGACCACAUAAACAGAAGUCACGAGAAAUAGAAGUGCAGAGAAUCUGCCUCCUUCCGUCACACUCAUUGCCACCAACUACACAAAGGAGCCCACGGUUUUCCUUAUAAAAUCCAUCUAAGCCUCAAGUAUGGUAGGAAAGGGCCUUCCACGUGGUGAUAAGGAAAUCUAUUCAGCUAAACAACUAUAUCCAAUUACUUUGAGGGUACGUUUACUAAUUUGUAAUCAAAUUGAGAUGAAUUGAAUUGAGAAUGAAUUGGAUUAAGAAUGAAUUGAAAUGAGGUGGAAUCAGAAUCAGAUUCAUGUUGAAGUUGUUUAGUAAAACUAUCUGGAAUCGGAGUAAAAAUGAUGUUGAGUCCAUAUAAGUUGUUUACUAAUUCCCUUCAAUCGGAAUGAAAACUAAGUUGAUUACUAAAUUGCCCUUACAUAAAUAAAUUAUUUUCAUGCUAAUUAAUUAAAUUAAAUUCUUAAUUAAAUUUAUAUAAUAAAAUUCAUCUAUACAAAUAGGUUUUAAUUAUUUAUUAAAAGAUGGCAUAAUGAGUGUCAAAUGAAGGGCAAUGUUGGGAUAAUAAUAAACAAGUGAGGGCAUAAUUGGUAGAAGAAAUCUAUUUCGGAUUCCUAAAGUGUCAAGGAAUUGAAAUACCUUCCUCAUGUAGUGAGUCAAAUUCCUCCAAAAUUAGGAGUUGGAUUCCUUAAUGCGUGUGGACCCCACAUGUAUUUUGAUUCUCCAAGAUUACAUAAACAAAGGUGUAUCCUGUAAUUGAAAUCUAAUUCCGUAAAUUGAUUCCGAUUAUGGGUACAUAAGUGUGUCAUGAGAGUGACAAAUCCGUUGUAGCAAUAUAUUAAUUUUUUUUCAAAAAAUUACUUUGAGAGUAGUGAAUUUUCUAGCUAAAUAUGUGGAUAAAAUAAAGGAAAUUUUAACAAAACACUCUCAUUACUGUUCAUUUUUAACGAAAAACAACAUUUUUACCUUUCCUUGGUACUAUUCACUACACAUUUAUUUGUCAUUUUUCAUUAAAACUAAAGUUUUUUUUUACUUUUCAUUAGUUUUCCUUAAAAUAAAUUGGGAGACGUGGAACACUUGUAGUUGUUGGACUCCGUUUGUAGUUCAAUAUGUUUUGAUGUCAUGAAGAAAAUUGAGGUUCCAUCAUAAAAUCAACUGGCAAUAUGAGAAGUAAGUCAAUCUUUUAUAAUUCCUUGCAAGGUUUUUUCUUUCAUCAAUGUGGAACUCUUUUACUUUCACAUCCUCACACAGCCCUCUUACAUGUGGUAAAUUUUCAAAACAAACACGUGUUUUGCGUCACCCAAUUCAUAUUGUUCACAUGUUUGGCUCCAAAAUUCAUCACAAAUGAGAUGGUGUGUGAGGAUGUGAAGGUAAAAGAGUCUCACAUCAGUGAAAUGAUAAACUUUGCACAUGCUUAUAAUUAAGAAACUGGGUUGCUCGCUAUGUUGCCAAUUAGUUUUAUGGUGAAUCUCAACUUUUUUCGUCCUAUCAAAGUAGGUUGUCCCACAUGCUUCACACCACCCUGUUUGUGUUGUCAUUAUGUUAGGUAUGAAAAUUUCCCACAUCUGAGGAAGCAUUUGAGAAUAAAUCUCACAUUGGUGGGAAGAGAGACUUUGUAUGGGUUUAUAAGUAAAUUAGAUUAUUCUUCAUUUAUUAAUUGAUUUUAUGGUAGAAUCUCAACUCCCUUCACAAAGGUCUACAUGCCUACACGUCAACUAAUAUAUGUUAUCCACAUGUUAUAUAUACUUAAAAUGACCUUGCACAUGAAGGGCAUGCUGAGAUUUUUUAUUUUUUUGUCAACGAUUACAAGAUCAUCAAAAGGUGAUGUAGUCUUUUCCUGAUGAUGUCGUUAAUAGUAUUUCUCCGUCUGGAUUUGUACUCUCCGGGUGGUGUAGUCUUUUUUAUGAGUUCGUAAUUGCAGUAUUUGCAUAAAUUUUCAUCUUUCAUCCCUAAUAAUUCUAUGGUAACAAUAUUUGUAAGAGGCUAAAAGCUGACUGCCAUCUACAGCUCUACUCUACAAUUUGCACAAACCUAAAAAUAAUCCUAGGGUAAGAUAUAAUUGUGGAGCCAAAAAUAAUCACAAGGCGACACGUGAAUUUUUGGGUAAAAGAGGACAAAAAUACCCUUGAGGCAUAUUGGGAUUCCUACGCGCUAGCAGCGGACAUCAUCCCCGUCAAUCAAAUCAAAAGUGCCCAAAAUAGGUAACAAAUUCAAAAUUAUUUCAUCCAUCCUCAUCCUAUAUUUUCCACAAGGUAAUCAUUCCAUAACUUACAAAAUAUUUCACAUAAAUCACAUAACCCCCAAAAUAUUUAUACCAAAAUGUGUUGAUUAACCAAUUAAUGGAUUAAUUUCCUAAGUAAUCCAUUAAAUCACACAUUAAACCAUAAGCUACACCCUCUCCUAUAAAAACCCCAUUUUCUUCUCCAAAAUUCACUUCCAACACUCUUGCAAAACUCCAAAAACUUUCUAAACACUUUUCUCUCUAAAUUCUAACUUUGGCAUCGAAGGUUUUUCGGCCAAAAACCCCUCAUUCAUCGUGGGCACGUGAGGCUCUUGGCCUUGAUCCUAAGGUGUUGAUUGUUUUGUAGGUGCAAUUUUGUCCAAGAAGAAGGAGGAAGAAAUUUGCAUCCAUACGUUGGUGCUUUCAUUGAGAGAAGAGUCACACGCUCGUAAAAGACUCCCGCAUCAAAAGGUUUUUCUGUUUUCUUGUCCAUGUGUAGAUUUUUCGUACGUUCUUAUUAUUAGAAUUUUUUAUUUGCAAAGAUUAUUUGAUAAAACGUAAAAGAGAAAUACAAUGGCUAGAAAUUUAGAAAAAUCCACAAGUGAAAAUUCCAAUAUUCAAGAAAUGGGACCACAGCAAUCCACGAGGCUAAAUGUGAUCAUAGGAGCGGCACCAUCGCUACAUGGCUCCACCAUGGCAACGACCGCGAUGGCCACCACGGUCACCACUACCCGCGGCAUGGUCCAUGGCACUGCUACCACGGCCCAAGCCAUGUCACUCCAAGUCCAACGUGAACUCAACGCGUUGCCAAGCCGAGCCCAAGCCUAGAACCCAUAUGCAUCACACUACGAGCAGCCUGUUCCCGCCGAGCAGCCCACUCCCGUGGCCCAGCCUACUGUCGCUGAGCAGCCACUUUCGUAGCACAACCUACUCCAACCGAGCAGCCCACUCUCAUGGCCCAGCCUGCUCUAGCCGAGCAACCCACUCCCGUGGCCCAGCUUGCUCCCGCCAAGCAGCUCACUCUCGUGGCCCAACCUGCUUCCGCAGCCCAGUCUACUCCAGUGGCCUUUCAAGUAGCUCGAAUCGAUUCAAGAUUAGUUCAACCGUCCUAGCUCUAAAUUUUCUGACCGAUGAUCGAACAUGGAGCAUCUUCACCACAUUUUUCUGCAGAUUUGGCAUUUCCCAACUCAAAUCUCACGCCUGGAGUCUACCACACUUCCACUGCUCAAGAAGACGCAUUCCUUCCAAGCUAUUCCAACCCAAAUGAAGAACAACACUUGUCUCGACAAUUCAUAGAGUUGGCAAGCGCCCUCACACAACAAACGACCUUGGUGAACCAGCUCUUGCAGCACACCGAGAUGCAACGUGCCCCAGAUGAGGUGUCCUGAAGUAGGAUAAUGGCAGACAAAGAACAUCUCCAGCAGCGUCCCAGUAAGCAGCCACUCGACCAGCCACGAACCGAGCGUUCAGGUAGUAUACACUCCCGAUUGGGCUCUCGAGAUAGCGUAUACUCCCGUCUUAGAGUGUGGAGGAGCGUGCACUCUCGACUAAGCCCACAGACGAGCAUAUAUUCACGGUUAGGGUCACACUCUGAUAGUCAACAUGAGCAACCUUCCAGGCGAAGUGUUCAUUUAUGGCUAAGCCCGCAAUGAGCAUCAUCCACCUCAUAUCGGAGUAGGCAGCACGACGGACGGAGAGAAGCAGUAACUCAAUCUGGCUCAAGUUCAAUCGGCAUUCUGCGAAGAACUCGCUCACUUGCUAGGAACGAGCUAUAUGCACCACAUCCGCGGUAUAGACAAGCCAAACACAUGGAAGAACAGCCUAGACCAACAAGUCACGAUUGGGGGUAGCCGAGAGCUCUAAUACCUCAACAAAGGUAAAUUGAGGAAGAAGUAGAGAGACGUUUGACCAAACGAUUGUGUAAUUUCAACGCAACAAGGUCACCGACGAGACACUAUGACGAAACAUGACUAACAUAAGCAGGUCACCCUUCACAUACGAGAUUAAGCAGGCAAAGCCUCUACGCAAGUUCAACAUGCCACAUUUCACAUAUUUCAAAGGGGCCCAAUACUGGCAGUUGAGCACUACCUCCUGCUGCGUGUCACACGGCCCUAGCCGACCAUUGUUCUAUUAUUCAGCUCUAAGAGUGGCCCAAUACCGACAGUUGAGCAUCCCCUGCUACAUGUAACAUGGCCCCAACUCCACGGCUCUUUACUGCACCUUCACGCCUAGCCUUGACAACGCAACAGAGCGGCCCAAUGACGCCCCGAAGGCAGCCGAGCACACUUUAGCCACACAUGCUCCCUCAAUGGAGAUUUCUGGCAUUUGCAUGUCGACGACGAAUCCAACUACAAAGGCUCGCGAGCAGCCGUGGUUCUUAUCACCCAAGACGGCUCAAUGCUCGAGCAGGUGAUCACUCUAGGCUUCAAAGCAUCCAACAGCGAAGCAGAAUAUGAGACCCUACUAGCAGUCCUCUGAAUAGCAAAAGGCUUGGCAGUGAAAAACUCGCGAUUCAUUCUGAUUCCUAGCUAAUCACUAGCCAGAUUACUUGAGGCGUUUCAGACUUACUUAUCACUCAAGUUCCACAAGCAGACAACGCUCACGUGGAUACACUAGCCGGCCUAGGCUUCGCCUUCAACCACCAACUCAAACGCUAUAUUCUGGUGGAGUAUCUAGACAAGCCAAGCAUAGAGGCAAAGCUAGCAGCCGAGGUGUCACAGAACUCGGCUGCCUAGCACCUCCCAAUAACCUGAAUGUUCUAAGCUCAAUCCAUGAAGUCGUUUGUGGAAAUCACUCUGGAGGUCGAUCCUUAGCAUAAAAGGCUCUUAACACAGACUACUGUUGGCCUAUUAUACACCAAGAUGCUAAGAAGUUAGUACAAAAAUGAGACCGUUGCCAACGUUACAAGCCGAUACCAUUACUGCCUGCUAGUGAGCUACACUCGCAGACGAAUCCUUGGCCAUUCACGCAAUGGACAAUCAACUUAGUAGGGCCUAUGCCGCCUAUUACUAGGGGCAGAGGCAUGAUGAUCGUGGCAACCGACUACUUCACCAAAUGGGUAGAGGCAGAGCCCAUGAAGACCAUAACUUAGACGAACAUAGAGCACUCCAUAUGGGGGAAUAUCAUUUAUCGAUUUGGCAUCAUUCAAUCUAUCAUCACUGACAACAACCCGUAAUUCGUAGGCAAAGAUUUGGUGAAGCUUUUCCAAAAAUAUAGCAUCAAGCAGCACAUGUCUAUGCCAAGAUAUGCUCAAGACAAUAGGCUGGCCAAAGCAUCCAACAAGAUGAUCCUCGACUGCCUCGAGAAAUCAUUCACCAACAAGAAGGGAAAAUGGCCAGACGAACUCCCCAGAUGUUUAUGGGCAUAUCGCACCACCAAAAGACGAGCAACCGGUUAGACUUCUUUCUCUUUGGCAUUUGGCUCAAAAGCAAUCAUUCAUCCCAAUGUCAUCAAGCCAAGUAUCACUGCUCUACUUCCAAGCAUUGAGUAAAAUAAUAAAGAGAUGGCCACAAGCUUAGAUCUGGCAAAGGAGAAGCGCGAGUAGACCAUCACCCGCAUCACAACCUACUAGUAGCCACUUCUCUCCAGUUACAACAAAAGGGCCAAGAUCCGGCAGUUCCAUCCCAAAGAUCUAGUCCUUAGAAAAGCCUUUAUCAUUGCCCCUAGAGAAGGCUCCAAAAAGAUGGAUCCCAUCUGGGAAGGUCUAUACAAGAUUGGCAAAGUAGGCGGCAAGAGUAAUUACACCCUCGCCACCAUGAAACGAUAAAAAGAUCGAAAAGCAGUGGAGCGCCUACAAUCUGAAGAAGUACCAUGUGUAACCUCCCGCUACAUCAAAGCUUGAAGACUCAAGAAGCUCGACGGGCACCACCUCACAAGCCAAAGAUUACCCAGUUGUUAUGCAAUUCCUACCUUAUAGCUAAGUUCUCGUUCGUUUCACUCGUUUUUCAAUGAGGAAUUCAGAAGUAAUCACAACUUGGCUCGGCUAUAUGCUUACAACAAUUGAUCACUUAUGCACUUUAAAAGAAGAACGCGCCCUUCUUAGGGACUCAUCGCAUGAAUUGCACCCGACGAAGGACCAACCAUGCUCUCCAGUGUGAGAGGGUAAACCAAUUCCUCGACACCUAUAUGGGUCAGCUCUCCAAGACGGGAGGAUAAACUUUACACUCCGAAUAUCUAGACUUGGAUUAGCUUGGCUGCCCUAGUAUUUAACAUUUUGUUAUGAAAAGUUACAAUUCCUUCAGGCUACAGUCUACAACUUGUUUGAUCAAAUGGCCUGCGAGUUCUUGCUUAACUACAAAUUGAAAGAGUGGCCAAAUGAAUGAUCAAUUGGGACCCCAGCAGCUGAGGUACAUGACUUUCCUCAGAGAUUCUUCAGAUUACUUUACUUUCUCAUCUUGUGUAAAACUUGAGACCAAAGCAGAAGAUGAGGAAGAGAACUUGUUGGCCUGAGAAAAUGACCAAAGUGGUUCUUGGCAUGCUGCUGCAGAAAUCUCAUGGUGUAAUUCCACCUAUAGAUCCCUUGGUCUUUCAAGGCCUCCACAACUCAAACACUUGAUGCCACUACCCAACCGCUCAUUGCUGCAACUGAUGAACUAGUCAUACUGUCUAUAUAUAUUUUUAACACAAUAAUCUUGAUGGAAAAUUGGAAGUAAAUAAAACUGAUGUUUGGUUGAUGUGUUUGAAAUUUGAUUUGAUGAAGAAACUGGUGAGUGGGUGUUGCUCUUUAUAUGAAGAGAGUGCAGUUCAACUAAGUCCAUGAAUGUGGAAGGAAAGUGGAAGCCCAUAAAAUGUGGCUGAGGGGAAAACCCAUGGGAAUUAAGCCAAUGGUUUUUACAAGCUAGACACACUCAUUGAUAGAGGCGACAAAAUUAGGUUGGGUAGGCCAAGCAAAAGCACACGAUUUUCCUUUAUAAAACCCAUUUAAGCCCCAAGAGAUUUUUCAGUGUGACCAUCAUACGGAUAGUACACCAUAUAUUGUUAUAUAAAUGGUGGGAUAUGUGUGUUAAAAAGUUAAUAAUUUAAAAAAUAAAAUUUCUCAUCACUUACAUAAAAACACGUGAUGUACCACCUGUGUUCCCGUCACAAUUAAAAAUUUCUCUUAAGCCUCAAGUUUUGGAGAAGAGGAGACACCACUUGUUUUAAUUUAUGAGGCUCUAAAACAGUGACUCCAACUUUUUUUAAAGAAAAAUGUUAUUAACACACCUAUUUUUAGUCAGUCUUAUUAAGUUUUGACUAUUGAACUCCUUCAAUUCAUUUGAUCUUACGGUUAAAAAUUAAGAGAAGUGUAAGAAGUAAAAAUUGGUGUGUGGAUGCAAUACCCUUUUAAAAAUUAGAGAUCUCAUUUUCAAAGGAAGUUGAAGUUUCUAUCAUUCUAAAUUUUGUAAACUAAAUGAUGUGGUCGUUGAUGAUUGAAUUAUUCUUUAAGUGUUAACUACCGUGCUUAUUUUUUAUUGGUAGUACACCACUUAGUUUGUAAAUUUAAUUUAAAAUUUAAUUUUUUUCUAACAUUACCAUUUGACAAUAUAAAAAAUAAUUCAACUAUUUAUAAGUACAUGUAAAUUUUUUUUUCAAUAUAAAAUUCAAGAUUAAUAUCAGUUUACUACCCUGAAAUUUCUUGAUUUUCAACAUUUGAUACAUCAAGUUUUUUUUCGUCCUAGUUUGGUACCUAAGGUCAUAAUUCUGGGACACUUUCACACUUCCGUUAAGUUUUCCAUUAAAAAUUCUGUUAACUAAAUGAAGUGGCGCUCAAGUGAAUAAUAAUUGAGCGCAUGUCAAUAUGAGUUCACGUGAAUAUUACAAAUUUUAAAAAUUAAAAAAUUAAAAAUUAAAAACCAAAACUCUCAAAAACUCUCACGAGUCUUACCCCCCCCAGCAUCCACAUUUUCAAAGUCUCUCCACCUCUCUGAGAUUUCUUCUAACCCUCUCACCUCCGACUGCUAAUCAAUUCAACCAUCCAAACUUCUUAAAUCUGCCCCCAGAAAACCAUAAAAUUUGAAAAAGUAAAAAAAACCCCAAAUUUAGAAGAGAGGAGGAAGAAAAGGAUGGAGAAAUUUAGUGGGGUUGUUAGUGGCGGUUCUAGCCUUUGGGAUUCCGGCAUCUGCAUCUGCAUCUUCUCGAAGCUCUUCUUUUUCCUCCGCUUCUGCAUCUUCUUCUUCUUCCUAGGCUUGUUCUUGUUCAGUGAUCCAAGCCGUUGAUUUGUUGCUGCAUACACAAGUUUUGGGGUCCAAUUUCUUUGAUAUCUUGACUGGAAUUGUGGGUUUUUAUAGAAAUGGGGGAAGAGAGAGGUGAGUUGGUUUUGGGUUGUGAGGAAUUUGGAGUGGCUGUAAUGGGUGAGUUGGUUUUUUAUGGGAAGAGUUGCAGAAAUGUGCAGAGCUGCUAAGAAAGUCAUCAGCUCUGUUGAUGCAUAAAACCGGAGGUCUUGGAACAACGUAAAUCGACCGUGAAUCUGCAUGAAAUGUAAAUAACACAAGAUGUAUCAUGAUUCACCCCAAGGUUUGGGCUACGUCCACACUGAUAUUGUAUUUAUCUGAGGGAGAGAGAGCUCUGAGAGUGAGAGCUUUGAGAGGGGGUGAGGAGCCUUAGGAAUUGGCCUAAAAAAUGGCCUCCCCCAAUUGUGAGGGUGAGGAGUCCUUUUAUAGAAUAAGGGCUCUUCACUUAUUACAUAUUUGCCUCUUCAUUUAUCACAUAAUUACAUUUAAGUCCCCCGCGUAUUUGUAUGAGAUCUAAAUACGAGACCCUAAAUAUGGUAUAAACAAGCUCUUAACAUUUUUAAUUUUUAAUUUUUUUUUAAUUUUUUAAUUUUUUAAUUUUUUAAUUUUUUAAUAAUUACGUGCACACGUGGCGUCCAGUUCUUGUUCAUGUGGACGCCACGUUAUCAGUUAACAAAGUUUUUAACGAAAACUUAACAGAAGUAUGAAAGUAUCCCAGAAUUAUGAUUUUCGAUGCCAAACUGGAACAAAAAAAAUUGAUAUAUCAAUGUUGAAAAUCAAGAAACUUUAUAGUAAUAAACUGAGAUUAACCCUAAAAUUUAUAUCCUAACAAUUUUCCUAUAUUUUAAAAGAAUGAUUCAUAGGAAAUAUUGAGAUUUGAGAGUCAUACGGAUAAAAGGAUGAAACAAACUAUUGGAUUGGACAUCACUAAUAAAGUCAUCAAAUUCAAUCCAAUCAUGUAGGUCGUCAUCCGAUUCAAUCAUAUUGGUUUUGAUAUUUAGGGAUCCAAGUAACAAAAAUAUUAAUCUUACCACAUAUUUUAUACCAUUAUUUGUAUCGUCUCUAAUAAAGAUAUAACUCUCUUACCACAUAUUUUAUAUCAUUAUUUGUACUGUCUCUAAUAGAGAUAUGAUCCACAUAUAUUGGUAAGUGUAAUAUUACUCUCCAAGUAAUACUUUAAAUCUUCAAAACCAUUUACAAUCGGAUUGAAUCAGAUUCGAUCAGUCGGUUUGGUGGAUUGAAUGGGAUCUCAUCUAUCCUAGCUUCAGACUUGAACGUUUCUAUUUCUUUUCCUUUGGUCUAAUCGGAUGUUUUUGCUCCUUUAUCUUUUGGCAUAGCUGGAUGUUUCUGAUUCUUUGAAUCAAUUAACUCUUUCAGAUAAAUAAGUAUACAAAACUUGAAAAAUUAAAAUAUCCAAAUAAUAGAGUUAACAGGGAUACAUAGAGUUUUGUCUCAAACUGAAAUCACUUAAGUACGUUCGCCUACAUUUCAAGGAAAGUGAGAGUAUAGUAGGCGCUUUUGUCAAUCCAUCGUAGAACAAUUUUUGUGAGAGCAAUAGUUAAUUAAACUUCAAAUUCCAUAAGAAAUUCCUAAUUAAACUCAAUAGCUCAAGGCAACAAUUCUCAGAAAUAUACAUAUGUAUGUGGUAAUUUAUAUUGCAAUUGUCAUAACAUAUCAAAAUUUACAUCAAUUUGCCACGACCGAGCAGACAUCAAGUGCCUGCAUCAUACGAUCUCAAACGAUUGCCUGUGCUAAUAACUCAAGAAGCCCUUCAUGGGGUGUUCCAUCAGCGACCGCUUACACAAAACCAUGCACUCUUAAUUAGCUCUUGUUUUUGUGAAUGAAUAAUUGAACUAGUUGUUGGGACCCCAGCAGCUGAGGUACAUGACUGUCCUCAAAGACUCCUCUGAUCUCUUCAUUUUCUCAUCUCUCACUUUACUAAGAGCUGAAGAAGAAGGAGAAGAGAGCUUGCUGUUGGCCUGAGAAAAUGACCUCACUUGGCUCUUGGCUUGUUGGCCUGCAUAUCUCAAGGCAGAGUUCCAUCCGCAAAUCCCUUGGUCCUUGAGUGCCUCCACAACUCCAACACUUGCUGCCACUAUACAGUUGCUUGUGCUUGAUGAACCCAUGAUUUCUUUUCUCUCCUUUGAUAUUCUGAAUUCUUUUGGUAGUGAUUGUGAAUGUUAAAUGUUUGAUGAAGGAGAUAAGAAAGGAGUGCUCUUUAUAUAGGAACUAGAAAUGGUGGGCCCUUUCCAUCAAUUACUAGAGGCGGUUUAGAGGAAUGAGGAUCCUAGAAAUCCUUAAAUUUUGUCUGUCCA